Molecule: ribosomal RNA, 557 nt
Filed under: uncultured bacterium
Lineage: Bacteria
Description: bacterial SSU rRNA
Rfam family: Bacterial small subunit ribosomal RNA
Source: RNAcentral
ACGGGUGAGUAACGCGUGGGAAUCUACCCAUCUCUACGGAAUAACGCAUGGAAACGUGUGCUAAUACCGUAUACGUCCUUCGGGAGAAAGAUUUAUCGGAGAUGGAUGAGCCCGCGUUGGAUUAGCUAGUUGGUGGGGUAAAGGCCUACCAAGGCGACGAUCCAUAGCUGGUCUGAGAGGAUGAUCAGCCACACUGGGACUGAGACACGGCCCAGAUUCCUACGGGAGGCAGCAGUGGGGAAUAUUGGACAAUGGGCGCAAGCCUGAUCCAGCCAUGCCGCGUGAGUGAUGAAGGCCCUAGGGUUGUAAAGCUCUUUCACCGGUGAAGAUAAUGACGGUAACCGGAGAAGAAGCCCCGGCUAACUUCGUGCCAGCAGCCGCGGUAAUACGAAGGGGGCUAGCGUUGUUCGGAUUUACUGGGCGUAAAGCGCACGUAGGCGGACUAUUAAGUCAGGGGUGAAAUCCCGGGGCUCAACCCCGGAACUGCCUUUGAUACUGGUAGUCUUGAGUUCGAGAGAGGUGAGUGGAAUUCCGAGUGUAGAGGUGAAAUUCGUAGA